CGCACCGCUUGCUAGAGAUCUACAUCGACACGUGCACAGAGGAAGGGCACCAAAGAGGGAGGGGAGGAGUUGGUGACGCAACACCAGUAAGCUGCCCUGCCGCUGCAGUACGGUGACUUCAUGCACGUAGACACGGAGAGAGACACGCACUACGGACAGCAUCUCUUACACCCCCCACCUUUCUACACGGGUACGCGACCCUGGCAGGACUCAUCGCCAUCGUUGAGCCCAGCGCUCUUCUUCACGCUUUCUUUACUUUUUCCUUCGUCUUACGGGGCUUUGAUUGCCUGGUCAAAUUUCCGGCGUCACGGGGCCCUCGCACCUGUUCCCUGGCAGCGGUGGCGCGAAGGGAGGUAGGACAGCGGGUAAAGGGGUGGAUAGAGAGGGCAAACGCACGCACGCACGCACACACACACACACACACACGAGUGACGGCGUCAGCAGCUCCCUAGCCACUUCACCAUCGCUGCCGAGAGGACUAUCAUGUUCCGUGGCCACUGGAUCGUGGCCGACAUGGACGGCACCCUCACCCCCACGCCGACCCGAGCACAUGGCAAGUACCUGACCCUGUCGUACUGUAUGCAGACCGGACUGGGCUACGGUGCUCGCUACAAGAGCUGCCUGCCGUGGCUUCGGCUCUUUCUAGAGUGUGGUGGAACCCUCUGCGUCGUGUCCACGGCUGGCAAACGCAUGUGGUCGCAGCUGUACCCGGAUCUAGCGCCAGCGCUAUUUCGGUUGGGGGCCGCCGCCGCCGCUGCCGGUGCGACUGCGGCUGAUGGUAAUGGCGCUCCACCCGGCCCCUCUCCGCCCAUCGACUCUUCGGAUGCUCCUGGUACCCUGUACCUAUGCGGCUUCACAGGAGCGGCGCUAUUUCGAAGCCGUCCAUGGGAGGCUGUGUGGUCUGACAUGGACCGGCUGCACCCCCACUGGCGCGUGCCCUCCGCGCCCCACCCUUCGCCCUUUGAUGAGGGCGCUGGGCUGUGCAACGGCGAGACUGCUGUGGCCGCGGCCAUGGUGCCGCCCGCCGGAGUGGCACUGGAGGAGUGGAGAGAGUACCGCGAGCAAGGCGCCGCUCCAGAUGCUGCAGGCUCGCAGGCCGCGGCGAACAGCGCAGUCAGUAGGCUAGCGACGAUGGACGCUGCGGCGUGCAUGCUUGCCAGAGAUGAGGGCCGCCAAGCUCUCGUCCGCUUCUUUGAGCACGCCUCGCACGUCUGCGGCCACGAUGCGGCUCGCGCUAAGGACUUCUUCGCUGCCUGCCUGAGCACGAAGUAUCACAGCGUCUUUGCGGACCUUCUACAGCAACUAUUGGCCGAGGUGCACGUGACGGCUCCUCAUGGCGGCGAUGACACAUCCGGCUCUGACGCGGGCACGCUUCAUGUCUGCUUUGCGGCGUCGAACGUGCUCAGUCCCGCUGCCCUCGCUCAGCACGGCUUCUUUCUCCAGGAAACCGGCGACGCGCUGGUGGACGCGCAGCCUGUACCAAGAGCAGACGGCACAGUGGCUGACGGCGCCGCCGUCGCGCAGGUGGUUGUGAUGGGCAUUCCCAUGCAGUUCUUUGACCAAGUCUUUCCCGCGGUGGGCUCUUCAUCAUCGGAUAAUCCCUCAGCAACUUCUCGGAGCUGGCACUGCUGCCCCCGGUGCGCCGCGGCAGGCGCGGGGGCCCGCCAACGCCUCGAGGCUGCUGGGCUAGAGCUGAAGAGCCAGCCAAACAGCGUGUGCCUACAUCGCUAUGGCGUAGACAAGGCCACGUGCGUGCGAUGGUUGCUGGCACAGCAUGAGCAGCAUCAGCUGAUGUUUGAGCUCUCUCAAGCGCUUGCCUUCGGCGAUAUGCCGGAAUCGGUCGACGCCCCUCUGACAGCCUUUCCCCCUAUGCAGUUUAUCUCCCUCUCACCCAAAGACGGCGCUGCGGCGCGUCUGGCCGACAUCGAGCGCGCUGCUGUUGCCGGCUCGACUUCGGCAGACAGCACUGGGGGCGGGGUGGUGCGGCAGCAGCAGCAGCACCAGCAGCCGCGCUGCCUCAGUGACAGCGCGCAGAACAUGUUUCACGUGGGAGGCGAGGAGGAGGGCACAGCACUCUUUUUGGAAGAGCUGCUGGGGGGCUGCACGAGCGAGCAGCAGCAGCUGCAGGUGCGGCGGCGCAGGGCAGCGUCGUCAUCGAACGAUGCUGCAGAUGCGGCGUGUGCGGUUAACUGGUUCACUGCCGAUCGCGUGGCCGCCUGUGCGACCCGUGCGCGACGUCGAAUGGAGGAGGAGCUCCUUCAGCGGCAGCAACGCAGCACCGCAAGCACCUAGAAGAACACCCGCUCUACCUUUCGAGAGGUGACGUGUGCGCGCCUGCUCCCCAACGAGGCACGUUUUGUGCGCGUGUCUCUCUCUCUUUCUCAAUGCCUGCUUCUCUUGUUGACGCCGUAGGGUGCCUCUCACGGCUGUUGCGUGU
RNAcentral lists this unclassified non-coding RNA (2437 nucleotides) under Leishmania donovani. RNAcentral's name for it is "gene:LdHU3.16.0900(CDS-product:hypothetical_prote in_conserved)". The record is from RNAcentral. Lineage: Eukaryota; Euglenozoa; Kinetoplastea; Trypanosomatida; Trypanosomatidae.